RNAcentral lists this ribosomal RNA (484 nucleotides) under uncultured bacterium. Its description in RNAcentral is "partial 16S ribosomal RNA". It matches the Rfam family "Bacterial small subunit ribosomal RNA", at positions 30 to 507 of the family's 1533-position model. The record is from RNAcentral.
AUUGAACGCUGGCGGCAGGCCUAACACAUGCAAGUCGAGCGGAUGAAGGGAGCUUUCUCCUGGCUUCAGCUGCCGACGGGCGAGUAAUGCCUAGGAAUCUGCCUGGUAGUGGGGGCUAACGUCCGGUAAGGGGCGCUAAUACCGCAUCCGUCCUGAGGGUGAAAGUGGGGGAUCUUCGGACCUCACGCUAUCUGAUGAGCCUAGGUCGGAUUAGCUAGUUGGUGGGGUAAAGGCCUACCAAGGCGACGAUCCGUAACUGGUCUGAGAGGAUGAUCAGUCACACUGGAACUGAGACACGGUCCAGACUCCUACGGGAGGCAGCAGUAGGGAAUAUUGGGCAAUGGGCGAAAGCCUGAUCCAGCCAUGCCGCGUGUGUGAAGAAGGUCUUCGGAUUGUAAAGCACUGUUAGUUGGGAAGAAGGGCAGUAAGUUAAUACCUGGCUGUUUUGACGUUACCAACAGAGUAAGCACCGGCUAACUUCGUG